AAACAGUACUACCAUACCCGUCACUGACAGCAUUCUCAAACACUUUCUCAGCUAAAUCAACCUUCCCUGAUCUACCAAGUAUACUAAUCAUUGAACUAGCUAAUUUACCUUGCUCAUUUCGCUUCCUUUCACGACCAACAGCGAAUUGAAAGCAACGCAUAGCAGCUAGCCAUUCCCCUCUAUUCCCAAGCUCACGGAACAAAAAAGUAUAAUCAUCGGACCCUACAAGCUUAGAGCCGAAAGUCAACAACACUUGGUCUAAACCAGCUUCGUUGUUACAACAACGAAUAGCUUCUUCAAGAGCCUCCUGAGCAAAUGAAGAGUGCCUUCCGUUACCCGAUAUCUUAGCCCGGCCAAAAUGCAUCUUGGAAACGAAUCGGGUCGACCGUCUACCCGAGAAAUCAGCUGAAAAAUCCGAUUUUGAUGAAGAUAGAGAGAGAAAAUUAGGGGUUUGGGAAGGAUGGUUAGGAUUGCGAGGUGGAUUCAGAGAGACUUUUUGAGAGGACCAAUGGCGUUGAUGAUUG
Molecule: unclassified non-coding RNA, 524 nt
Filed under: Hevea brasiliensis (rubber tree)
Lineage: Eukaryota; Viridiplantae; Streptophyta; Magnoliopsida; Malpighiales; Euphorbiaceae
Source: RNAcentral